This 253-nucleotide ribosomal RNA is filed under the name uncultured bacterium. RNAcentral's name for it is "partial 16S ribosomal RNA". It matches the Rfam family "Bacterial small subunit ribosomal RNA", at positions 524 to 776 of the family's 1533-position model. The record is from RNAcentral.
UACGAAGGGGGCUAGCGUUGCUCGGAAUGACUGGGCGUAAAGGGCGCGUAGGCGGUUUGGUCAGUUAGGCGUGAAAUUCCUGGGCUUAACCUGGGGACUGCGCUUAAUACAGCCAGACUUGAGUGUGAAAGAGGGUCGUGGAAUUCCCAGUGUAGAGGUGAAAUUCGUAGAUAUUGGGAAGAACACCGGUGGCGAAGGCGGCGACCUGGUUCAUUACUGACGCUGAGGCGCGAAAGCGUGGGGAGCAAACAGG